GUUGAGGUCUAUCCCGACCUGUAAACCUACAUCGUUGGAAACGCCUCAUAGAUUAAUUGUGGUUUCCUUUACUCAUAGAACUACCUGUUAGAUCUGUGGGAAAGAACUACAAGACAGAG
Molecule: small nucleolar RNA, 119 nt
Filed under: Physeter macrocephalus (sperm whale)
Lineage: Eukaryota; Metazoa; Chordata; Mammalia; Artiodactyla; Physeteridae
Source: RNAcentral